GGAGUACGUGCAGCUGGGUAACACUCCGCAGCCCCACAUCUACGCGGCACAAGAUGUCCAACACUUAAAGACUUUCAUAAUGAGCCGUUAGUGAGGCAACCUGUAGUCUUCAGAAACUAUUCUAAAAGAGAAGGAUAUUGAUAGGAGGCUCUUUGAUCAUCUCUUAUUAUGUGGGCUUUGGAAGCCAAUAGAACAUCUGUACGUUGGAAUGCGUCCUUCUCAGGAGUGUCGGAGAUGGCUCCCAUUAAGUUCUAGCGGACCUCCAAACCCCCUGCCUGUCAAGGCAUCAGCCUCCUGUUACAGAUGAUUUACAUGAUGGUGGCCAGACAAUUUGCAGAAGUCAAGCAAUUAAUCAGAUCACAGCAUGUGUGUCAAAAGAACACAAACUCAGUAAUCAUCACCUCUGGAGUUACUUUCUCUAUUCCAUGCCCUUGGAGUGCGUAAUAAAUAAUUUUGAAGAACGGAUGACUAAUUUCCAUGCAUCCAAUUUCCUUUUCUACAAUUUUUCUCCACGAUGUUCUGAUUCUUUUCCAUUCAUCACGAUAGCGAACAAGACUCUCACUGAUGGCUGUAAACCACUGAGCAGAGACACAGUUUGUGUAGAAGAUAAUUUUUUGUAAAGGUGUCAGUUUGCUCUGGAAGAUGAUUUAAAACGAAGAACAAUUUUUUUUAUGAAUGUAUGCCUUUGCAGAAGGCAGAGUUCACUGUUCUUCAAAAUGAUUCAUUGAUGAGACUCAUUAUGUACCUUGUAGUACGACAUCUUCAUGGAGUAUCAAUUUACGGGGGGAGUGUUUGAUGAUAGAUGAUUGUCUAACGAGGCGCAUUGAAAGCAUGUUAAGUCCAAACUUACUACGCUUUGUAAGUAUUUGUUGAUUCUACUUAACACUGCCCAUAUAGUUACCCGCUUUCAGAGGCGGCCAAAAAUAUCCAGAUAAAUAAUUACAUGUUUAAGCACAACAGUUAACAUGGA
Molecule: long non-coding RNA, 970 nt
Organism: Canis lupus familiaris (dog)
Lineage: Eukaryota; Metazoa; Chordata; Mammalia; Carnivora; Canidae
Exons: 3
Source: RefSeq, a predicted model, not a curated record